AUUGAACGCUGGCGGAAUGCUUUACACAUGCAAGUCGAACGGCAGCACGGACUUCGGUCUGGUGGCGAGUGGCGAACGGGUGAGUAAUGUAUCGGAACGUGCCCAGUCGUGGGGGAUAACGUAGCGAAAGGUACGCUAAUACCGCAUACGAUCUAAGGAUGAAAGCGGGGGAUCGCAAGACCUCGCGCGAUUGGAGCGGCCGAUAUCAGAUUAGGUAGUUGGUGGGGUAAAGGCUCACCAAGCCAACGAUCUGUAGCUGGUCUGAGAGGACGACCAGCCACACUGGAACUGAGACACGGUCCAGACUCCUACGGGAGGCAGCAGUGGGGAAUUUUGGACAAUGGACGCAAGUCUGAUCCAGCCAUUCCGCGUGCAGGAUGAAGGCCCUCGGGUUGUAAACUGCUUUUGUACGGAACGAAAAGGUCUCUCUUAAUACGGGGGGCUCAUGACGGUACCGUAAGAAUAAGCACCGGCUAACUACGUGCCAGCCGCCGCAGUAA
RNAcentral lists this ribosomal RNA (500 nucleotides) under uncultured bacterium. Its description in RNAcentral is "partial 16S ribosomal RNA". It matches the Rfam family "Bacterial small subunit ribosomal RNA", at positions 30 to 523 of the family's 1533-position model. The record is from RNAcentral.